CCACACUCUCAUUCCACCUAAGUCCCUGCAGCCCAGUCUGAUGGCCUCCCCUACCAGCAGAGUGCCCCUCACCAUGCCCUAGAUACGGCUCACGCUCCAGCUAGCACCGAGUUCUCAGGGACACGCCACAGAGCCAGAGAGGGCUCUCCCGGGAGCCUUGAGACGACCCUCUGAUGGGCCAGCUCUCCCUCCUCCCAUCAGACACUCAGCAAGUUAACGUGCCUGAACCCCAACCAGCAUCCUCCCUGUCCUCUGGCUCCUCCCUGUCCUGCCUCCACCUCUAGACAGACAUUGAACAGCCUGAUCAGGGCUCAGCAAACACUCUGUUCAGGACCAGAGAGCAAAUGUUUGCAUCUCUGUAGCUGAUAUAGUCUUUGCCACGGCUACUGAAUUCUGUCUUAGAGGACAAAACAGCCAUAAGCCAGGUGCGGUGGCUCAAGUCUGUAAUCUGAGUGGCUCAGGAGGCGGAGGCAGGAGGAUCGCAAGUUCAA
Molecule: long non-coding RNA, 491 nt
Filed under: Marmota monax (woodchuck)
Lineage: Eukaryota; Metazoa; Chordata; Mammalia; Rodentia; Sciuridae
Source: RNAcentral